CUCUUGAGUAUUUCUCAUUGUGUUUAUCGCAACACUAUAAGCAUUGAAUUGAAUACAAAGUGGCACUAGUGAUGCCGGAAAUGUCCCCAAGAAACAGAGAAAAGACAUGACAUUACAAGAAAAUUUUGAAUUGCUUGAUCUAUGGAACAAAUCACCCCAAAAGCUAAUGACUUGAAACAGCAGCCAUUGAUGUAGCUCAGGGUUCUGUGGAUCUGUCAUUUGGAGCAUGUUGGUUCUC
RNAcentral lists this long non-coding RNA (238 nucleotides) under Pan troglodytes (chimpanzee). RNAcentral describes it as "long non-coding RNA NONPTRT007735". Lineage: Eukaryota; Metazoa; Chordata; Mammalia; Primates; Hominidae. The record is from RNAcentral.